Molecule: non-coding RNA, 124 nt
Organism: Hordeum vulgare subsp. vulgare (domesticated barley)
Lineage: Eukaryota; Viridiplantae; Streptophyta; Magnoliopsida; Poales; Poaceae
Source: Rfam
CUAAUACUCCCUCCGUCCGAAAAUACCUGUCCUAAAAAUGGAUAUAAUGAAUGUAUUUAUAACUAAAAUCAGUCUAGAUUCAUCCAUUUCUAGGACAAGUAUUUCCGGAUGGAGGGAGUACUAA